CAACGAUGGUCUCAUAAGGAGCUUGUAACAGAGGGGCUGCUGAAGCCGAGUGUGCCGGUUAACAAGCAGUCAAACGGCGGUUGAACACCUGAGCAGCCCCGGUCGUCUGUGGAGCCUCCGCUGUAAGCUAGCAGCUCUGAGGAGCUGGAGGACUCGUCUUUAGCUCUUCCACAUGACCGACUCCAUACAACACUUGCUGGCCCGCGGUUAGCUGUGGUGAGCGGAACACACCGGCCCGGCACGAAUCCUGCAGAGCUUUGUAAAGACUGAAGAAACAACCAGGAGCUUCCCAGUGAAAAGAUUUCUUUCAGAGCGACGGCGUCUUUACACAGCAGCUCACUACAGGUCCGGACUUCUACAGCUCCACUGAUGAACCGUUUCAUUAACAACAGAUUAAAUGUUUAAGGUGACAGAGGUUGUUUUUACUGGGAAAUCCACAGUGAAAAGUCACCUGAGCUUUUUAGCAUCUCUUAACUUUUAAUUUUAGCACAUCUGGACCGACUGUACACACAGGAAGUCAGCACGAACAAAUAUAAGUUUAAAGGUGAAAAGUUCUACAGUUAUAUUUUGCUAACAUUGGUAGCCUGUUAGCUGUGUGACUGAUAGAGCUCAGCAUGAGGUUAAUGUCAGGCAGACUGUAUGACACAGUUUGAUAAAAAAAAAGAUUAUUAUUUUGCUCAUUAAUUUGGUUUGUGAUAUAUUUUAACUAACAUAUUCACAUUUUAGUAAUCGUGCGUAGACCUUUAGUCAUGAAUAUAGCAAUUAUUGUUUAUGUUAGAAAAAUGUAAAUGUCAAAUGGCAGUUGAUGUUCUUUUCUUCUUUGUCUGCCCCUGAGCCUCAAUCUGCCCACUUAAUGUUUAAUACAUCUUUAACAAAGUAUUUAACAACACUGGCUUCACACAUGAAAUGAGCUUCUCUCUCACAUUAGUGGUGUUUCUAUUCAUCCAAAUACAAAUGCAUUCCCUUGCGUAGAACACGAGAUGUACGUCUGUACUUAUGGACAUGAAACUGUGUGGAAAUGUGGUGGACACCAACACGAAUUUUAAGGGAUAAUAAUGUUGUUUUUUACUUUAUUCCCUUAAGAUUCCUUCUGCACAGCACACAGAAUCUGUUGGUCUCGUAAUGAUCCAACUCAAUGAACAUCGUUCUCUGUAGCAAUGAGAGGAUCCUGCUCAGGAUGCCAAACGCUGCUGAGGAUUUACCCAACAAGACAUGAUUUAUCCAGAGUGACACAGGAAGUGAUGCUUCAUCUGAAUAACACGAAGCAGAGAGAAAGACUUUGUGUCAUCACUUCUCUUCAGGACUUUAAUAUCCAGACAUGAACUGUCCGAGCGGCUUCUCAGCUGCAGUGUUAAGUGUGAAGACGGGUUGUCAACACAAAGACACGAUGAAUACAGGAUAAAAAAGAAAAUGAAACCAGGUUGAAAGAGGACACGGGUCACUCACCCACAG
Molecule: long non-coding RNA, 1452 nt
Organism: Acanthopagrus latus (yellowfin seabream)
Lineage: Eukaryota; Metazoa; Chordata; Actinopteri; Spariformes; Sparidae
Exons: 2
Source: RefSeq, a predicted model, not a curated record